GGAGGAGGAGGAGGAGGAGGAGGAGACACUGUGCAAAGAGGGAGAGAAGAUAGGGAGUUGAGGAUGGAGUGUUUGUGGGUGGAUCAGUUUGUGCUUGUCUUAGUGAGACUUAAGUGGGCAUGAUUAAUAUGAAUUAAAUAUGAAUGAACCAGAAUAAUGAUGAAACAGCACAAGAUAACAAGAAUGACAAAAAAGACACUGAAAUGACAAUCAGAAAGCGCAGGAAAUGAAUGAGUAGCACAAAUCAUUAUUAUUUUUAGUCUAUUGUUGAGAUCAUAAGAA
This is a long non-coding RNA of Penaeus chinensis, 282 nucleotides long. RefSeq lists it as uncharacterized. Lineage: Eukaryota; Metazoa; Arthropoda; Malacostraca; Decapoda; Penaeidae. The record is from RefSeq and is a predicted model, not a curated record. The transcript has 2 exons.